Molecule: long non-coding RNA, 2858 nt
Organism: Polypterus senegalus (gray bichir)
Lineage: Eukaryota; Metazoa; Chordata; Cladistia; Polypteriformes; Polypteridae
Exons: 6
Source: RefSeq, a predicted model, not a curated record
UAAAAACAAACAGGACAAACAUAAGCGUAUUUUUCAAGAAAUCUCUGCUCUUCACUGUUCCCCACAUCCAUACAUCAAAAUCUAUCCGAGUGAAAAUAGGUUUGAUUUUGGAAAAUCCUUCUGAUGGGUCCACCUGACACGCCUUAUGAAAAUGGUGUUUUCCUCCUUUAUUGCCAAUUUCCUCCAGAGUACCCAGUCAAGCCUCCAGAAAUGAGAUUUUUCACAUCUAUAUAUCACUGCAAUGUAAACAGUGCUGGGCAUUUGCCACAAUAUUUUUGACAGAGGCUAUACUGCUCAUAUAACAAUGAAACAAAUACUUGAAGCUGUGUAUGGAUUGUUGAUUGCUCCUGAGCCUGAUGAUCCUCUGGACAGCAUUUUGGCAGAGGAAUAUUUAACUAGUAGGGGAAAAUACCUGGAAGAAGCCAGGAAGAAAACUGCUGAACAUGCAAGUACAUCAUUUCAAGAAAUGGAAAAUAGGGUGCUUGGUUUAAAUACAGUUGAGGAUCCUACACCUAAACCAAUGGUUUGUCCGCUGUCAAAGCAGUUGUUCAUUGAUCCAGUUCAAACUCCAGGGGUGAUAUAUAUGAGCGCAAAGAUAUUGAACUUCACUUGAAAAGGAAUAAUACAGAUCCUGUUACUAAUAAACCUCUUCAUAAUCGGGAUCUCAAACCUUGCCUGAAAUGAAGAAAAUGGUGGAACAUUUUAGAAAGAAGCAGAUUCAAGAAACUUCACUUUAAAAUGUGCAUGCUUCCUUCUCAAGAGUCUCAGAAGUUACUGCCAGCAAAUGAAAAUGUUACUUUGAUUAUUUUCAUUUUUGACUAUCGAAGAAGUAAAUGUCCUUUUUCUGCAUUCUCCUUAGUGCAUCACUUCAUACUGUGUCUUAAAAAUCUCCCUAAUAGCAAUUAUGGUAUAUGUUAAGUAACCAGUUUGUAAGGUACACCUGUCUACUACUACAUUCAACCCCUGUUUAGCUCCAGAACAGCCUGAGUUCUUUGAAAUUAUCAAUCUGGAAAGUAGUCACUAGGGAUUUUGUCCAUGCUAACGUUAUCACACAGUUCCUGCACACACAUUCAUGUUUCCUGUUGUACCUCUUCCCAGGAGCUCUGGUGAACUGAUAAAUUAGUACUGUAUAGGUCAUUGGGAGUAAACUGAAGUCACUAUCAUGUCUGUGGAACCAGUUUGAGGUUCUUUAUAACAUGGCACAUUAUCCUGAUGGAAGUAUACAUUUCAAAAAGGGAAGGCUGUGGCCAUAAAGUGAUACAUGUACUCAACAAUGCACAUUCUUUGGCACUCAAAUUAUACUGUCAACAUCAGCCUGUGUUGAUGGAUCCCUGAAUCUAUCUUGCUGUUUACACAACAUUCUGAUCCUACUAUCAGUUUGUAGGUGCAGGAAUUGAGAUUUGUCAAAAUAGGCAACAUUUUUCCAAUUUUAGUUGGUCCAGUCCAGGUUUGGUGGUCAUACAUCUAGUGCAACAUUAAUCUUCCUGUCCUCAGCUGACAGGAUUGAACCCAGUAGUUUUAUUCUUCCGUAGUUCAGCCAUUUAAGAGUUCAACCUGGUAUGCAUCCAGUGAUGUUCUUCUGCACACCAUUGUUAUUUGGGUUAUUUCUGGCUUUCUGUUAGCUUGAAAAAGUCUGGUUGUUCUCUUCUGACUUUACUCAUUACCAAGGUGUUUUCACCUGUAGGACUGUGGUUCACUCAAUGUGUAUCAUUUUUGCACCUUUCUUUAUGAACUCUAUAGGUUUUAGUGCAAAAACAUCCAUGGACAACUGUUUUAAGAUGCAAAACCACCUUCUUUGUUGCUAAAAAUAUGACAGUCAAAGUGGUUUAUAUCACAUUUAUCAACACUUAUAAUUUUUGGUCAAACAACAAGUAAACCUCUUGACCAGGUCCACUGUAGUAUUUACAUAUUUCUAUACAUGUAUAUCUGACUUAUUUUGGGUUUUUAUAAAUACAGAAUCUGUUAUUAGGUUUGCAUUUUGAGGUGAAAUUAAAACACAUUUUUAUUACUGUCUCGAUAAUCAUGAUUUAUGCGACACAUCUGAUUGAUCAGUCUCACAUGUAACAUCAUGGGAUAUGACAUAAAUAUUCCAACAUUCACACAUUCAGUUAUCGCUCAGUGGAUGCAAAAUCUCUUGUUCUGUUUAGUGCUAGUUAUUUUUAACUCAGGUAGCCCUAUUGUUAGGAUUGUUUCUCUGCUUUUGAACCCUCCAACUAGUUUCACUACAACUUUGUUUUGCUCGGUUGUUCAGGUUACUAACUUUUAUGUUGUCUCCUGGUACUUUGACCCUAGUAAUUCCUUUUAACUUUGAUUCUCCACUUGUAGAUCACAUCCAGGUCCUUUUCACUUAAAACAACCUUUGGACAUUUUGCAUGUCCGUAACAGUAUAUUUUCACAUAUAGUGUGUCUAUAUAGAUGUAAGGUAUUUGCAUUAACAAACAGGUGUACCUCAUAAAGUGGCCACUGAAUGUAUGAGCUAGACGUUAACUAAGCAUAUAUAAAUAUGAUCAAUUAUCUUUGUUAUAUCUUUCUUUUAAAUGAUAUUUUUCUAUACAAGGUCCAAAUUAAUACUGUUUACAAUUACUGGAGACUUUAAAUUGCCAUUGGGUAGUAUAAUAAUGUAUCCAUAAUCCAUAUAUUUGACUAUUCUUUCAAUCAAGAUGAUUGCAGUUAAUAUUGUGAUGCACUUUUGAGUUUGGUUUAAAUAUAUUGCUUUAAGAAUGAGGAUUUCUAGUUGAUUAGCAUAUUAAUUAUGUGUCCUUUUACUUAUGAAAGUAGCAAUUACCAUAUUAUGUUUCAAAAUGUUGUCGCUUCUCGGCCUUUUGGCUAAGAUCAAGUGUAGUAUCUGUUCUUAUCAG